Molecule: non-coding RNA, 21 nt
Filed under: Arabidopsis thaliana (thale cress)
Lineage: Eukaryota; Viridiplantae; Streptophyta; Magnoliopsida; Brassicales; Brassicaceae
Source: RNAcentral
CCUCUGUGCUGGCGACGCAUC